This is a long non-coding RNA of Rhipicephalus sanguineus (brown dog tick), 415 nucleotides long. RefSeq lists it as uncharacterized. The transcript has 3 exons. The record is from RefSeq and is a predicted model, not a curated record. Lineage: Eukaryota; Metazoa; Arthropoda; Arachnida; Ixodida; Ixodidae.
CUGAAGAGCACAUUAUGCCAUCAAGAAAAUGCUCACUGCUGAAACAACACCACACGUGAACAGCAAACGGAAGAGUAAGGUAUCUGCAGUUCAAGCAGUGCAAAGGUGUUCCUUCUAGAUCGGAUGGAGCUUGGAAGUAUUUCAAGAGGUUGUAGCUCAGGUGCCCAUGGGCCAAAGGGCCUUCAUUGUUGCAAAAGAUGUGUCGCCGGCAGACGUUGCUGUGCAAGGUGCUGCUUCUAUUGUUCUUGCGCCAGCUGUCACCCAUCACACCGGCACCACUACGACUGGUUUUGCCACAAGCGUCUUGGUGUCCUGAUGUCGCAGGGAAUUGUUGUGUGACCGCAUCGUCAGCAAAGUAUGAAGCAUCAUCAUUUCCACCGCAUCCCCCUUUUGCAAUUCUGGAUGGCACAGCUUU